This 406-nucleotide ribosomal RNA is filed under the name uncultured bacterium. RNAcentral describes it as "partial 16S ribosomal RNA". It matches the Rfam family "Bacterial small subunit ribosomal RNA", at positions 29 to 526 of the family's 1533-position model. The record is from RNAcentral.
AUUGAACGCUGGCGGCAGGCCUAACACAUGCAAGUCGAACGAGUGGCGGACGGGUGAGUAAUGUCUGGGAAACUGCCUGAUGGAGGGGGAUAACUACUGGAAACGGUAGCUAAUACCGCAUACCAUCAGAUGUGCCCAGAUGGGAUUCGCUAGUUGGUGGGGUAACGGCUUACCAAGGCGACGAUCCCUAGCUGGUCUGAGAGGAUGACCAGCCACACUGGAAAUGAGCAACGGUCAAGACUCCGACGGGAGGCAGCAGUGGGGAAUAGUGCACAAGGGGAGCAAGCCUGAGGCAGCCAUGCCGAGUGUAUGAAGAAGGCCUUCGGGUUGUAAAGUACUGUCAGCGGGGAGGCGUUACCCGCAGAAGAAGCACCGGCUAACUCCGUGCCAGCAGCCGCGGUAAUUC